This 445-nucleotide ribosomal RNA is filed under the name uncultured bacterium. RNAcentral's name for it is "bacterial SSU rRNA". It matches the Rfam family "Bacterial small subunit ribosomal RNA", at positions 30 to 507 of the family's 1533-position model. The record is from RNAcentral.
AUUGAACGCUGGCGGUAUGCUUAAGACAUGCAAGUCGAACGGUAACAGACCUUCGGGUGCUGACGAGUGGCGGACGGGUGAGUAACACGUGGGAAUCUACCUUGUAGUGGGGGAUAAGCCAGGGAAACUUGGACUAAUACCGCAUACGCCCUAAGGGGGAAAGGCGCAAGUCGCUAUAAGAUGAGCCCGCGUCUGAUUAGCUAGUUGGUGGGGUAAAGGCCUACCAAGCCGACGAUCAGUAGCUGGUCUGAGAGGAUGAUCAGCCACGUCGGGACUGAGACACGGCCCGGACUCCUACGGGAGGCAGCAGUCGGGAAUAUUGGACAAUGGGGGAAACCCUGAUCCAGCAAUACCGCGUGUGUGAAGAAGGCCUGCGGGUUGUAAAGCACUUUCAGUUGGGAAGAUAAUGACGUUACCAACAGAAGAAGCACCGGCUAACUCCGUG